RNAcentral lists this ribosomal RNA (468 nucleotides) under uncultured bacterium. RNAcentral's name for it is "partial 16S ribosomal RNA". It matches the Rfam family "Bacterial small subunit ribosomal RNA", at positions 28 to 507 of the family's 1533-position model. The record is from RNAcentral.
GACGAACGCUGGCGGCGUGCUUAACACAUGCAAGUCGAACGGAAAGGCCCUGCUUUUGUGGGGUGCUCGAGUGGCGAACGGGUGAGUAACACGAGAGUAACCUGCCCUUGACUUUGGGAUAACUUCAGGAAACUGGGGCUAAUACCGGAUAGGAGCUCCUGCUGCAUGGUGGGGGGUGGAAAGUUUCGGCGGUUGGGGAUGGACUCGCGGCUUAUCAGCUUGUUGGUGGGGUAGUGGCUUACCAAGGCUUUGACGGGUAGCCGGCCUGGGAGGGUGACCGGCCACAUUGGGACUGAGAUACGGCCCAGACUCCUACGGGAGGCAGCAGUGGGGAAUAUUGCACAAUGGGCGGAAGCCUGAUGCAGCAACGCCGCGUGCGGGAUGACGGCCUUCGGGUUGUAAACCGCUUUCGCCUGUGACGAAGCGUGAGUGACGGUAAUGGGUAAAGAAGCACCGGCUAACUACGUG